GCCGCCCUGCCACCGAUGCCCGCCGUGCCGACGAUGCCCGCGGCGGCAGGCAUGCCACCCAUUCCCGCGGUACCGACGGUCCCCGCGGUCACCGUGCCACCGAUGCCCACUGUGCCAGCUGUCCCCGCGGCGACCCUGCCGCCGAUGCCCGCGGUGCCCACCGUGCCGAACGCGGCAUUGCCACCCAUGCCGCCGAUGCCUGCCGUCCCCAAGGUUACCUUGCCGCCGAUACCUGCCGUGCCGAAGGUGACGCUGCCGCCGAUGCCCUCCAUCCCCAGCGCCGUGCCGAUGCCGUUCUUGGCGCCGCCUCCUUCGGCGUAAUCAAGCAUGCGCGCAGUGCAUGUGUGGCGACGCUGAGUGUCCUCUGUCAAUUUCCCAUGUCUGAUUGUUGAGUCGUUCG
Molecule: long non-coding RNA, 400 nt
Filed under: Setaria italica (foxtail millet)
Lineage: Eukaryota; Viridiplantae; Streptophyta; Magnoliopsida; Poales; Poaceae
Description: long non-coding RNA (SITA_LNC000854)
Source: RNAcentral